AUGAGGCCAUCCACCAUGGCUCGAGCCCUCGCGGCCGCGGCUGCCGUCCUCGCCGCCGUGGCCUGCGUCGGCGCGACCCCGGAGACGACGUGCAGGGCGGCGGCGGGCGCGGACAGGCGCGUGGACUACCGCUUCUGCGUGUCCAGGCUGAGCCAGCACCACGACAGCCCCGACGCCGACACGUGGGGCCUAGCCAAGGUGGCCGCCGACGUCGGCGUGCUCAUGGCUAGCAACGGCGUCUACGACAUCAAGGCCAUGCUCGCCGGCAAAAAGGAGCAGCCAGCGGCGGCACGCGGGCCGCUGGAGCAGUGCGAGGCGCUGUACGACAGGAUGGGCUCCGCGUUCGCCGAGGCGUACGACGGCAUCGACAGGCGCGACUACGCGACGGGCAAGGAGAAGGCGGGCGAGGCCGCGUCCCUCGCGCGCCGCUGCGGCGACGCCUUCGCCCGGGCCGGCGUCGCCGUCCCGUCGAGGCUGGCGAAGCAGGGCGCCGACUCGGUGCAGAUGGCCAUCGUCUGCACCGCCGUUACCAACCUCAUCAAGUGA
Molecule: ribosomal RNA, 546 nt
Filed under: Triticum aestivum (bread wheat)
Lineage: Eukaryota; Viridiplantae; Streptophyta; Magnoliopsida; Poales; Poaceae
Description: partial small subunit ribosomal RNA
Source: RNAcentral